RNAcentral lists this long non-coding RNA (270 nucleotides) under Elaeis guineensis (African oil palm). RNAcentral's name for it is "long non-coding RNA (EGUI_LNC010401)". The record is from RNAcentral. Lineage: Eukaryota; Viridiplantae; Streptophyta; Magnoliopsida; Arecales; Arecaceae.
GGGCCUCUUUAUAAAGGAAAAAACCUUCUCAAAUAAGAGUUUCAAUCGGUGUAGUAUUCCUUGAUUUCAUGGGAAACGGAAAAGGAAAUCAGAUUUGGAGCCAAAUAUAACAGGAGGGUUGCCAAGCUGGUGCGACCGUUUUGCCAUUGCAUAUUUGGCAAACUCGAUGGUGUCCGUUAUCAUUUCAGGAUUUCCGCCUUCUUGAAAUGCCUAAGGACGAACCUGAGAAUUAUAUUGAGAUGGCACGGCCCAGUAACAGUAUCCUUGGCC